This 462-nucleotide ribosomal RNA is filed under the name uncultured bacterium. RNAcentral describes it as "bacterial SSU rRNA". It matches the Rfam family "Bacterial small subunit ribosomal RNA", at positions 28 to 490 of the family's 1533-position model. The record is from RNAcentral.
GAUGAACGCUGGCGGCGUGCUUAACACAUGCAAGUCGAACGAAGCAUUUACGACAGAUUCUUUCGGGAUGAAGUUGUUUAUGACUGAGUGGCGGACGGGUGAGUAACGCGUGGGUAACCUGCCUCAUACAGGGGGAUAGCAGCUGGAAACGGCUGGUAAUACCGCAUAAGCGCACAGAAUCGCAUGAUUCAGUGUGAAAAACUCCGGUGGUAUGAGAUGGACCCGCGUCUGAUUAGCUAGUUGGUGAGGUAACGGCCCACCAAGGCGACGAUCAGUAGCCGACCUGAGAGGGUGACCGGCACAUUGGGACUGAGACACGGCCCAGACUCCUACGGGAGCAGCAGUGGGGAAUAUUGCACAAUGGAGGAAACUCUGAUGCAGCGACGCCGCGUGAGUGAAGAAGUAAUUCGUAUGUAAAGCUCAUCAGCAGGGACGAGCAGAAGACGGUACCUGACGAAUAAG